CAUGUCUUUUUGAUUAUAAUUUAAAGUYUAAUYUGCUCCAUGAAUUUUAAAUAGCUGCAGUAUUUUAACUGUACAAAGGUAGCAUAAUCAAUAGUUUUUUAAUUAAAAGCUGGAAUGAAUGAUUUGAUAAGGUAGAUAUUGUCUCAAUUUUAUAGUUAUUAAAAUUUUUUUUUUAGUAAAAAUACUAAAAUAUUUUUAAAAGACGAGAAGACCCUAUAGAUUUUUAUAUUUCUAAAAUUAAUGGAUUUUAAUUUAUAUAGUUUUUAAAUUUAGGGGUAUUUAAUUGGGGAAAUUAUUAAAUUAAAAGAAUUUUAAUUUUUAAGAAACAAUGAUAUUUGAGUUCAAGAUCUUUUAUUUAAGAUGAUAAGAAUAAAAUACCUUAGGGAUAACAGCGUAAUUUUUUUAGAGAGAUCGUAUCGAUAAAAAAGUUUGCGACCUCGAUGUUGAAUUAAGAUAAAAUUUUAAAGCAGUAUUUAAAAAUUUUUGGUCUGUUCGACCAUUAAAAUCUUACGUG
RNAcentral lists this ribosomal RNA (514 nucleotides) under Latibulus sp. BFS-2018. RNAcentral describes it as "partial 16S large subunit ribosomal RNA". The stretch from base 385 to 514 matches the Rfam family "Archaeal large subunit ribosomal RNA", at positions 2544 to 2673 of the family's 2987-position model. The record is from RNAcentral. Lineage: Eukaryota; Metazoa; Arthropoda; Insecta; Hymenoptera; Ichneumonidae.